UCUUUCAAUGUGACCCUACCCUUGCAAAAAUUCAGGUUGAAGAUCAGCUGGUUUUUGUAGCUUUGUAGUUGUGUAUUGCACAGUUUCUGAUUGAUAUAUACAAAAAACACAAGUGACAAAACAAGGAAGUUCAUUUUAGUGAUUGCUAAUCUGUAUUUAGUCAGUGUUUUGGGGGACAUGCUUCUGUCACAAUAUUUUAUAAACACACCCACUGGUAUACUGUGACUAAAAUGAAACAGUCAGGGUAUGCCACACAGAAUAUUCUCAUGAUUGCUAAACACUUCACACCUCAGGGGAACAACAGUCAGGGUGUAUUUGGAGGACCACCAAAGAAACGUCCAUCAGAUAAACCAAAAAGUAAGGAAAUGCUAGAAAGAAACCAACAGCGUCGCCCCUUACGCACAUAUCCUCUAAGCCCUCCAGACUAUCUCAUAGACCCUCAGGUGCUUCUACAAGACUACGUAGAAAAAGAUUUAAGGUUUGCUGGUAUUAUACCCAAUGUUCCAGUACAUCUUGAUUCUACGAGCCGCACAGAUAUCCUCAGAGUGAUAGAUAGGGGAAAGAAGGAUGGUACAAUCCCUUGGCACACAACUUACGAACAAGAUGCCAUCUUUAGCUUAAGCGUUAACAAUAUCAAAAUCUCAAGGAGAGAUGGAAAUGAAGAGCUGAUGUUACGGGUACCCAUUCAUGAAAUAGCUACAAUUUGUUACAUACAAGAUGAUGCAUCUUUUAUCUUAAUUUUGAAAUUUGGGAAUCCUGAAGAGAGUCGAGAAAUGUGCAAGUUGGCAGUUUUCCUUUGUGAUAGCAGAUCUGCCUCUGAGGAGUUGUGUUCACUGGUUGGACAGUGUUUCCAGUUGGUGUACACAGAUGCCACCAUGCAGUUCUUUGAUAGGAAAGUCAAUGAAGGAGCACGCGGGGUGUCUGGUACAUCCUCUGUUACCCUAAGCAGUGAUUAUUCCACAUCUACACCUAAGAACCUGGACAAAUUACAGGAUCCUUCAUUUUUGUCUCAGUCAGCACUCCACCUAGAUCAUAGUCAGACAUCAACAUUAAACAGACCAGCUCACAGGCGGAAAAGAAGCACUACGCAGAGCGUCAGUGACCUUAGCACCUCGGCAGCAGAUCUGUUACAUGAUUAUAUUAGAAAGAUGCAGAGAGUUUUAACUGAUGAUGAAUUAAAAAGGUUUGCCUCUUUGUGUAAAAUGUGGCAAGAAAAUAUGCCUUUUAAUGAAUAUUGCCAGAGGGUGCUGGAGCUUUAUGGACAGGAGAGAAAAUAUCUUUUAGCAGAUAUGAGGGAUUUUAUACCUGAAAAAGACUAUGAAUUUUUUGAGUCAUUCUUGAAAAGUAUAGGCAUCGUAAAUAAUGGAAGAGGAAGUCAAAGAUCAAGAUACAGACGGACAGCGAGCGAUGUAUCUGGUUUAACAACAGGAAGUGCUAGUGACACUACAUCUUUAGCUGCAGAUGAGUUUGAUCGCAGCAUGAACAUAAUUACCUCAAGUAUUGCCAAUAUGGAAACGAGUGUGAACAUUAAUCCCAGCUCAUAUCUUGGAAUGCAGCAAACGUGAUAUAUGUUGUGAGGGGCACAUGCUGAAUGUGUACCUUUAGGAUCCGACUCAAUGGUGUCAUCUUUGUUGUUGUAAAGAUCUGAUCUGGUGCUAGUUCAUCAUCAGCUAGUGACAUCAGCCUGUUUGACUACAUACGUUUCGCAGUACUGUACCCUUAGUGUCAAAGGGUGAUUGGAUGUGGAGGAUUUCACAAACCCUGGGAUUUUAAAGCUCAAUAAUGGGACACAAAGUUGUGGAUAUGAACUUUCGAUGGGGUGCACUUGACACCAUGGGCUUCACAAGGUGACAAAGUCCAUUAAAUGAAAACACGAAAGAAAAUAUCCAGGACCCUGCAACUCUUUCACACAGUUUGGCGCUAAGCGUCUUUUUAACAUCAUCCACAUUGAUACUCGGCAUUGAUUCAACAAUUGAUAGGAUGUGAUGGACAAAGGGCAAGAUACCACAUUGUGUUACUCAGUGAAGGGUGGGUUUAGGUUAAAAAAAAACUGUGAUAACAUGAACUAAAAAUUUGCAUCUGUACAGUGGUGUCAGGUGUCUUGUGCUGGAAAAUAAGGUAAAGGUUCUUAUGGCUUGAAUAUGAUGCUGUUUAUUUGCCAGACAAAUGAUAUAAGUCUGAAGUGAUAGGGAAUCAUUUUAGAAAUGUCAAGCCAUUACAACAAACAAAAUACAUUGGAUAGAAAAAUCCCAAUGCUGCUGCUGAAAUAGCAGCAUUAUUGAUUUUAAAACGGUGUUAUCACCCUGUUUUAAAAUAUUAGGUAUGUUUAUCUAGUAAAAUUGAGGAUUUAAUGUUGGAUUUUGAUUUUUUAAAAAUCCUCAGAGGGUUAGUUUUAUAUAAGAGGACAAGGGAACCUUGGGAUUAGUCGACUUGAGGACCAUAAACCAUUGUAAUAUAACUGCUGUAAGUCUGAGGGAUAUUGUACAGGUACUUUCAGUAAUGUCUGUGAAGAAAAUCUCUAUGUUUUGUCAGGAUUUAAUGAUGAUAGUCUGAUUGUGCAGGUGUGUAUGUCUAUUUAUGUAGCAAAUGUUUAUCACUCGUGUGUUUUGUUUUCUGGUAUAGUUCCACUUGCCUUUCACAAUGUGAUCUCUCUCGGUAAUUUUUUAGUUCAGUGAUUGAGCAGUAUUUUGGUGCUAGGUAGAACUACAAAUUGCUGAGAUCCAUUAGGAAAAUGGUUUUGCCACUGUAAAAAAAGCUACACUGCACUUUAGAACCUUUUCUGUAAGGGGUCAAAGCAUGGGUGUGUUUAAAAAUUCUCAGGUGUCAUGAUGGCCCUUGCUUUUCAUUCAAGUGAUUGAUAACAAACAGCAAUGGCAACAGGCCGGUAAUCAAAAUUGAAAACUAAGAAAUUACCCUGAAAUAACAGAGAUGGCUUUUCACUCAAUUAAGGUUAUUGAUACUGCUGGGUCCACCCAAGUUAAUUGUGACAAGCAAGGGACCCAGCCUUAAGUAAUGAAAGUUAAUAACCCAUGAAGGGGGCAUCUCAUAGAUGCUAUGAGCUGGUUAAAAUGGUGAUUGAGUUCCUGCAAACUUUUUAUUUUUGGUAAAGCUAAAAGAAAAAAAUUGAGGACAAAACUGGUCAUGAACUGGGGAAAAAUCAAAACCAAAAAGGUUUUUCGUCAAAAUGAAUUAAUUUACGCUAUUGGGGAAUAAUUUACCAGGGUCAGGAUAGGAUCCUCUAGGGUAACACAUGCACUGUCAUUUCCUACCAUCAGGCAUAUAAUGGGCGUAUUCUAGUCCCAAGUCACUGCAGCAUUGUCUCAUUUUCAAUACAUCUGUCAUAAUAAGAAUAAUAUCUGCUUUAGGGGAUGUUUGUCAUUGCACGGAUUUUAACUACUAUUAUUUAAAAGGACUGCUGGAGGAGAUCUGAUUUUUUUAAAUAUCGUAGUCACAUCAGUUUCAAUGUAUCCGUUGUGUUUUUUUAUUUAUUUUCUUGAAUUAUAUGAUAAUUUCAGCAUAAAGAUAUUUGCUGAUGUUUCACUCAAGUAAUUUAUUGUUGUACAUUUUUAGUAAAUAAAUUGUACAUAGGUUUAUUGCAAUAUGUUGGAAAAUUGUAUUAUAGGUUUGUUUUAUAUGGGAGGUGUGACGUAAAAAGGUUGAAUAAUUAAUCAAGAUGUGUUCAUUUGUGAGGGAUCAUCACUUUCUCAGUAUUACUAUGUAAUAAUGGGUAAAACAAUCCUGACUUUGUGCAAAUAUAAUAGCAAACACUUCCAGUCUGAAGUGAAAGUGUGUGCAUUCAAGUUGACUGACAUCAUUGCUUAUCGUGUUAUUUUAGGUAAUGCUCAUGUCACCUUCAUUUUUAGAAUAUUGAAUUAUGUUGUAGAAUAUUCAACUGAGCAUCCUGUGAAUGGAAUAAAAUUGCUUGAUUUUUUUUUCAA
Molecule: unclassified non-coding RNA, 3938 nt
Filed under: Lingula anatina
Lineage: Eukaryota; Metazoa; Brachiopoda; Lingulata; Lingulida; Lingulidae
Description: cerebral cavernous malformations protein 2 homolog, transcript variant X2
Source: RNAcentral